GAUGAACGCUGGCGGCGUGCCUAAUACAUGCAAGUCGAACGCAUAGCGAAAGGUGCUUGCACCUUUCAAGUGAGUGGCGAACGGGUGAGUAACACGUGGACAACCUGCCUCAAGGCUGGGGAUAACAUUUGGAAACAGAUGCUAAUACCGAAUAAAACUUAGUGUCGCAUGACACAAAGUUAAAAGGCGCUUCGGCGUCACCUAGAGAUGGAUCCGCGGUGCAUUAGUUAGUUGGUGGGGUAAAGGCCUACCAAGACAAUGAUGCAUAGCCGAGUUGAGAGACUGAUCGGCCAAAUUGGGAAUGAGAAACGGCCCAAACUCCUACGGGAGGCCGCAGGAGGGAAACUUCCACAAUGGGGGAAAGCCUGAUGGAGCAACGGCGCGUGGGUGAAGAAGGCUUUCGGGGUGGAAAGAACUGUUGUAUGGGAAAAACAGCUAGAAAAGGAAAUGAUUUUAGUUUGACGGUACCAUACCAGAAAGGGACGGCUAAAUACGUG
Molecule: ribosomal RNA, 497 nt
Filed under: uncultured bacterium
Lineage: Bacteria
Description: partial 16S ribosomal RNA
Rfam family: Bacterial small subunit ribosomal RNA
Source: RNAcentral